This is a non-coding RNA of Triticum aestivum (bread wheat), 127 nucleotides long. NCBI's taxonomy places the organism in Eukaryota, Viridiplantae, Streptophyta, Magnoliopsida, Poales, Poaceae. The record is from Rfam.
UUCCUACUCCCUCCGUCCCGAAAUACUUGUCGGAAAAAUGAAUGUACCUAGGCAUAUUUUAGUUCUAUAAAUACAUCCAUUUUAAUUCAUUUUUGCGACAAGUAACUCCGAACAGAGGGAGUACAAU